Molecule: long non-coding RNA, 2933 nt
Organism: Ictalurus punctatus (channel catfish)
Lineage: Eukaryota; Metazoa; Chordata; Actinopteri; Siluriformes; Ictaluridae
Source: Ensembl
CUGAACCAUUGAGCUACCACUGCUUCAUGAAAAUUUGAAAUACUGUCUGUGCAGGUGCAUUUCCAGUGUGCAUAAUCUAACACAUUCGCAUUGUUGUACACAACAGGAAACAGUCUCGUUAACAUUUCAUACAGUCCUCUGCCACUUUAUUAGGAACACUUGUACACCUGCUCAUCUGUGCAGUUGACCAAUUAGCCAACCCCAUGGCUUCAGGUAAAGAAACUGGGCGGUUAAAGAUUAAAAGUAGAAGCGACAGCUUGUUGAAUCUUAUCGAAUGUCCAACCGAGUGUCCGGUUUUAGCGAGCAAGUGCUGACUGUAGCCUCAGAUUCCUGCAGCCAGGAGUGGAUCCCAGUGUGGUCUUCUGCCGUUCUAGCCUCCUCAGGGUCCGGCGCGUUGUACAUUCUGAGAUGCUUUUCCUGGUUGUAAAGAGUGGCGAUUUGAGUAAACACAGCGUUCUUGUCAGAUCAAACCAGUCUGGCCAUCGUCCUCUUAGCUCUCCUCGAGAAGCUGUCUUCUCCCACAGAACUCACUUAGAUGUGUUUAUUUGUUCGCUUUUAUGUAUUACAUGAAAAUCUCAGGAGAUCAGCAGGUUCUGAAAUACUCAAACCAGCCUUUCGGGCACUAGUAAGACAAAUGAAUGUUGUCCUCCUUAAGUUACUUUGGUAAGGUUAUUAGGCGAUGAAGGGUGUGGGCGCUCGCUUGUGUGGUGUUCAUCUUUUCUGUCCUUCACCUACUCUCACUCUCUCCUUGGUUGGUUUUCUUUUUUUUUCCUUUUCUUUCAACGGCCCUUCUCUCAUCCGCCCCGAUCCCCAAACAGCUCCUUAAAUAGUAAUUAUUUAUGAUUGAGGCUUUGAGGUAGAAAAACAUUGAGGUGGAUUGUUUGAACAGGCUUUUAGAAACUGCAUGACUUCUCAGUGUGGAUGAUGGGUUUCUUUAUAUUUAUAUAUAUAUAUAUAUCGUUGUUGUCAUUUUGCUUUGGUGACCAGAAGGUCGGGAACAUGAAUCCGAGGUCGGAACCUCGAGCAGGACCCUUAUUAAACCCGCUGCGUGCAUCUACUGACUCUGAGAAAUGAAUCAGAAUAAAAUGACUCAUCGAGUUGUAAAACAAAGGCCGCCUUUAGAUUUUUAUUGUUUCCAACCAACCACAUGCACGCAGACGGCCUCGGAGCUAGACCGAUUGUGGGAAGGGCAUAAACGCGGCUCGGUGAAGCGGGGCGUCUGGGUAAAGGUCCUUAAAGCUGGGAGUUACGGCGUGAAGGAGAAACGGGAAUUCUGUACGGAGUCCAUGAACUAAGGUUUUCCAUUUUCCGUUUACUUUAUAGUGCAUACUACAUAGUGCAGUGAGUAUCACUUUAUAAUCACAAGUUUAAAUGCAGUGCUCCCUCUUUCGUGCUCCCCAGACCUUCUCUUCUUUCUUCACAUCUUCCUGCCAUCUCGAACUCUCCUCCUCUGCCCCUCCCCGAGGCCUUGGAUUGGGCAGGUGGAAGCUAAAGCUGGAAUGCUGGGGAAUGCAGUCAGUCCCACUCAGCAUGCACGUGCAUGACCUACAGAUCACAUCCCACUACUCGCAUGGCAAGCUGAUAUAGAAGAAGCGUGAGAUGAGCUAAGACUGGGACAGGAAUAGAGAGCAAGAUGCUGAGUGUUCCGUGGACUGGGGAGUAUUCACACACACACACACACACCACUAGAGGUGAAGGCCAGCAUCUGUGCUGCUAAGGAGGGGCAGGUCAGAGGUCAAGCUGAGUGUUUACUUUGGGUUUUGCAGCUCCUGGCUGGUGUGUGAGCAGACCAAGCAGCGAUGAUUUCCAGUAAACACGGAACUGCUUGUCUGACAGGUUCAGCACGCGGUUAUCUGAUUUAACCUGCUGAAUUUCAUUCCUACAUUCGUAAUAAAAGGCACAGAGGCCAAAGAGGCCACUCCUUCUUCAUUGGGUUCUGAUGGUCAUAAAGGCCACUCCUUCUUCAUUAGGUUCUGAUGGGCCCAAAGGCCACUCCUUCUUCAUUGGGUUCUGAUGGGCCCAAAGGCCACUCCUUCUUCACUGGGUUCUGAUGGGCACAAAGGCCACUCCUUCUUCAUUGGGUUCUGAUGGGCCCAAAGGCCACUCCUUCUAUAUUGGGUUCUGAUGGUCAUAAAGGCCACUCCUUCUUCAACUGGAAUGACAUGCACAGGAUUACACUGUCUUCCUGUUUAGAAAUGACAAUCACCGAAGCCACACCUCUUUUAAUGAGUGGCACAGGGACGGAAAUAAGUUAUUAAUAAAAUAUGAGUAAUGAAAUGACUUUAGCAGUAGAUGCCGUCCCAGCUUCAGUCUGAUAUAAUCACUGUUGUCUGUCAUCCUGACACGACACCGAUUCAAACUGCUGAAUCGUUCCACCCUGUUUUCCUUUCUCCUCAUGCUGUUUACUCUUAGUAUUUUUGGGCAAGUGUCACUUUUCUCUGCAUCUAUAUAAACCCUUGAAUUUAGCGACUGACCACAUAGAAGCGAACAAACACCUUAAUUAUACACCUCCCUCAUGGAAUCCCUCCACCACACACAAAUCUCACACGCUGCUUCCUCACAUAUUAUUAUGUCUUCGCGGCAGCCACUUUCACUACCCGUUUUACACGGCAGUUUUCCAUGCACGCAAACACGCCGGCAAAUAAAUCUCACUUGUAAAGUGUCAGGUCAUAAAGAUCGGUCAAAAUAAACGAUCCCCUCGAGCAGUCUUGUUCCGUCUCUGUUUUUUUGUUUUUUUUAAAGCCUUAAUUGAAAUAGUAGCUGGGUGUGGGAGCGGCAGGCUUCGGGAUUUCUUCCUGCAACACUGAAGCCUCAGAAUCUUUGUUAUAAGUGACGUUGCAGCCUGAAAAUACACUGUGUUGUAAGUGUUAUAUAUGAUAAAUGUUAUAUGUGUGUGUGUGUGUGUGUGUGUGUAUGUAUGUGUAUAUAUAUAU